Long non-coding RNA from Nerophis lumbriciformis (worm pipefish), 1043 nucleotides. RefSeq lists it as uncharacterized. The record is from RefSeq and is a predicted model, not a curated record. Lineage: Eukaryota; Metazoa; Chordata; Actinopteri; Syngnathiformes; Syngnathidae.
CCUACAUCCUACUCUCACGUUUCACCAUAAUUGAAUGGUCAGAAAUAAAAUUUUUAGACAUAUUGUCUAUUCAGCAACAUACUUUUAUAGCUGCUGGAGAAUUUUAAGGGGAACUGCCUUUUUUGGGGAAUUUUGCCUAUCAAUUAGAAUCCUUAUGAAAGACAUGACGACGGAUGGAUUUUUAAAAUGCAUUCUAAAUAUUAAAUAAACGUAAAUAAAAGUCCGCUCCUUGGAAGUUUAUUUUAGAUCAUAAAUCCUGCCUCUCACCUGGAAAGUGUCACGGCGUGGUUUAUGGUGGAGUUUGUUUUCCCAAGAUGCAAGAGAACUGGACCGGACAUAGCGUGAAGGUUGAUACUCACACUGCUAAGGACCCCAGCAUUAGACCCUCUGCAAUAGUCUGCAUGGAGAUAGCAGGGGACAAAGAACAAGUCAACAGGACAGAAGAAACAACAAUGGAAGUAAAAGAGAGCAGGGAGGUGUUCCCUGGUGUAACGGAGCCUCACCAGUAAAGAAAUGCGGAGAUGAUCCCGACAGUCACCAGCAGCUGAAUCAUCAAGGUCAGGUAGACUUUCCUUAUGAAACCUGUUGACAGAGAAAUCCACAGUGGAAGCGUAAGGACAGGGAGAGAGGGAGAUAACAUGAGCCGGGCCGACAAGCUGUGAGAAGCAAUAAGAAGGUAGGCAUGUUUAUGAUGCACAACAUUUCAUUAAUGCCCUGCAUCCAAGCCCACUACUUUACUCUCAUUUCAAAAGAUUGGUAUUGUGCGAGAGGUGAUUGCAGCGGAGAUCCGGGAAAACAAUUUGCAGUUUUACAUCAAUUUUAACAAAACGCCACCAAGCAAACGAGGCAGUAAAUAUCGGUUAUCCUUAUUCAGCUCUGAAAGGUACAAACAAACUGUGUUUCUUUCUGUCUAUAACCCUCCAUUACUGUCGUCUCUUACGAGUUAGGAGGACUCACCUCUUCGAAUGGCACCGUCUGCAAAAACACUGUCCUCCAUGCCGGGAGAAUAGUUGGGUGGAGCUGGACCAACUGCUGCUGCUUGU